RNAcentral lists this ribosomal RNA (440 nucleotides) under uncultured bacterium. Its description in RNAcentral is "partial 16S ribosomal RNA". It matches the Rfam family "Bacterial small subunit ribosomal RNA", at positions 338 to 795 of the family's 1533-position model. The record is from RNAcentral.
CCUACGGGCGGCAGCAGUGAGGAAUAUUGCUCAAUGGCGGAAACCCUGAUGCAGCGACGCCGCGUGAGCGAUGACGUCUUUCCGUAUUGUAAGCUCUAUCAGCAGGGGAGAAAAUUACGGUACCUGACUAAGAAUCCCCGGCUCACUCCGUGCCAGCAGGCGGGGGACAUAGGAGGGGGCAAGCGUUAUCCGGAUUUACUGGGUGUAAAGGGGGCGUAGGGGGUCCUGCAAGGUCGGUGUUAAAGCCCGGGGGUCAACCCCGGGACUGCAGUUGCAACUGUAAGGCUAGAGUGUGGGAGUGGCAGGCGGAAUGCGUGGUGUAGCGGUGAAAUGCGUAGAUAUUACGAAGAACGCCGGUGGCGAAGGCAGCCUGCUGGAGGGUGACUGACGUUGAGGCUCGAAAGCGUGGGGAGCAAACAGGAUUAGAUACCCUUGUAGUC